UACGUAGGGGGCAAGCGUUAUCCGGAUUUACUGGGUGUAAAGGGAGCGUAGACGGCAAGGCAAGUCUGAAGUGAAAGCCCGGUGCUUAACGCCGGGACUGCUUUGGAAACUGUUUGGCUGGAGUGCCGGAGAGGUAAGCGGAAUUCCUGGUGUAGCGGUGAAAUGCGUAGAUAUUAGGAAGAACACCAGUGGCGAAGGCGGCUUACUGGACGGUAACUGACGUUGAGGCUCGAAAGCGUGGGGAGCAAACAGG
Molecule: ribosomal RNA, 253 nt
Filed under: Fusicatenibacter saccharivorans
Lineage: Bacteria; Bacillati; Bacillota; Clostridia; Lachnospirales; Lachnospiraceae
Description: partial 16S ribosomal RNA
Rfam family: Bacterial small subunit ribosomal RNA
Source: RNAcentral